GUUAAUGCCUGGCGAGCAUCUGCGGGAAGAAGGGUGGGGCAAGUGUUAAUCGGAAGUACUGGGAGGAAAGCGUGAGCUGGAGGCUAUAUAAGGCAUAUGUUAAAGACCUAGGCGCAACCUAGGAACUGCAUGGUAAACGAAUAAACUAGAUUAUCGUAGAGGGAGGUAGAAUGCCAGGUGUAGCGUGGAAAGGCGUAGAUAUCUGGAGGAAUACCAGUGGCGAAGGCGACCUCCUGGACGAAAACUGACGCUCAAGCACGAAAGCAUGGGGAGCAAACAGGAUUAGAUACCCUAGUAGUC
Molecule: ribosomal RNA, 300 nt
Filed under: uncultured Mucilaginibacter sp.
Lineage: Bacteria; Pseudomonadati; Bacteroidota; Sphingobacteriia; Sphingobacteriales; Sphingobacteriaceae
Description: bacterial SSU rRNA
Rfam family: Bacterial small subunit ribosomal RNA
Source: RNAcentral